CGUAAUAGCUCACUGGUCGAGUCGGCCUGCGCGGAAGAUGUAACGGGGCUAAACCAUGCACCGAAGCUGCGGCAGCGACACUAUGUGUUGUUGGGUAGGGGAGCGUUCUGUAAGCCGUUGAAGGUGGCCUGUGAGGGUUGCUGGAGGUAUCAGAAGUGCGAAUGCUGACAUAAGUAACGAUAAUGCGGGUGAAAAACCCGCACGCCGGAAGACCAAGGGUUCCUGUCCAACGUUAAUCGGGGCAGGGUGAGUCGACCCCUAAGGCGAGGCCGAAAGGCGUAGUCGAUGGGAAACAGGUUAAUAUUCCUGUACUUGGUGUUACUGCGAAGGGGGGACGGAGAAGGCUAUGUUGGCCGGGCGACGGUUGUCCCGGUUUAAGCAUGUAGGCGGAUGUUCCAGGUAAAUCCGGAACGUUAUUAACGCUGAGGUGUGAUGACGAGGCACUACGGUGCUGAAGUGACAAAUGCCCUGCUUCCAGGAAAAGCCUCUAAGCAUCAGGUAACAUCAAAUCGUACCCCAAACCGACACAGGUGGUCAGGUAGAGAAUACCAAGGCGCUUGAGAGAACUCGGGUGAAGGAACUAGGCAAAAUGGUGCCGUAACUUCGGGAGAAGGCACGCUGAUGGUAAGUGAAGUGACUUGCUCAUGGAGCUGAAAUCAGUCGAAGAUACCAGCUGGCUGCAACUGUUUAUUAAAAACACAGCACUGUGCAAACACGAAAGUGGACGUAUACU
This 733-nucleotide ribosomal RNA is filed under the name Klebsiella oxytoca. RNAcentral's name for it is "bacterial LSU rRNA". It matches the Rfam family "Bacterial large subunit ribosomal RNA", at positions 1133 to 1849 of the family's 2925-position model. The record is from RNAcentral. Lineage: Bacteria; Pseudomonadati; Pseudomonadota; Gammaproteobacteria; Enterobacterales; Enterobacteriaceae.